GUGGGGAAUAUUGGGCAAUGGGCGAAAGCCUGACCCAGCAACGCCGCGUGAAGGAAGAAGGUUUUCGGAUUGUAAACUUCUGUCCUCAGGGAAGAAGAAAGUGACGGUACCUGAGGAGGAAGCCCCGGCUAACUACGUGCCAGCAGCCGCGGUAAUACGUAGGGGGCGAGCGUUGUCCGGAAUGACUGGGCGUAAAGGGCGCGUAGACGGCUGUCUAAGUCUGGAGUGAAAGUCCUGCUUUCAAGGUGGGAAUUGCUUUGGAGACUGGAUGGCUUGAGUGCGGAAGAGGUAAGUGGAAUUCCCAGUGUAGCGGUGAAAUGCGUAGAGAUUGGGAGGAACACCAGUGGCGAAGGCGACUUACUGGGCCGUAACUGACGUUGAUGCGCGAAAGCGUGGGGAGCGAACAGGAUUAGAUACCCGUGUAGUCC
Molecule: ribosomal RNA, 428 nt
Filed under: uncultured bacterium
Lineage: Bacteria
Description: partial 16S ribosomal RNA
Rfam family: Bacterial small subunit ribosomal RNA
Source: RNAcentral